CAUCCUUCAUUCUGCAUCCUACAUCCUUCAUCCUACAUCCUUUCAGCCUUCAUCCCGCAUCAUCCAUCCUUACAUCCGGCACCCUGCACGCUCCACCCUGCAUCCUUCAUCCUACAUCUUGCAUCCUGCAUCCUUUUCCCCUGCAUCCGCGCAUUGCAUCAUUUCUCCCACACCUCUGCAGCCUCUGGGACGUGCAGGGCUGCCCCCCAGGGACGAGCUGUGCACCGCAACGGGAACGAGGGGCGGGGACGAGGCGGGGACAGGGGCGGGGAGGUGCGGGGUCCCGUUGGUAGCCACGAGGUGGUGCUGGCGGCACGCGCCCCGCGUCCUCCUGCAGAAUGCAACCCUUCACCCUGCAUCCUGCGCCCUUCAUCCUGCACCUUUCACCACGCAGCCUCCAUCCUGCACCUUGCCUCCUGCAUCCUUCGCCGUUCAUCCUGCACCCUUCAGUCUGCACCUUUAAGUCUGCAUUGUGCACCGUGCAGCCUGCAUCUUUUGUCCUGCACUUUACAGUCUGCAUCCUGCAGCACCCAUCCUGCAACCUCACCAUGCACAAUACAUCCUGCACCUUUUACCUCAUGUCCUGCAUCCUGCACUGUCUCAUGCACCCUUCAUCCUGCACCCUUCACUAAUCAUCCUGCACCCCACACGCUGUGUCUUGCACCCCUACAUCCUUCCCCCUGCACCUUUCACAGUACAUCCUGCACCCUGCAUCGUGUAUGCUGCACCCUGCAUCCUUCACCUUGCAUCCUGCACCUUGCAACAUCUGUCCUGCAUCCUCACCAUGCACAACACAUCCUGCAUCCUUCGCCUUGCAUCAAGCACCGUGUCAUGCAUCCUUCACCCUACACCCUUCAUCCUUACCCCUUCACCACUCAUCCUGCACCCCAUACUUUGUCACCUGCACUCUGCAACCUUUCUGCAUCCCCCAGGUGUGCUGGGCUGUGUGAGCAGAGCUGGGCUGUGCUCCUUAGGCAGCUCAGCUGGGCUGUGACGUGCCUUAUGUGUGUCUCUAUGUGCCCCCAUGUGCACCACAGGCAACUGUGA
This 1047-nucleotide long non-coding RNA is filed under the name Phasianus colchicus (ring-necked pheasant). Its description in RNAcentral is "lncRNA (ENSPCLG00000006879.1)". Lineage: Eukaryota; Metazoa; Chordata; Aves; Galliformes; Phasianidae. The record is from RNAcentral.